UUAUCACCCCGGAUAAUCUCUUUCCUUUGGCCUUCAUUUUUAUUUUAUCAAAAACAUUGAGAACCCUAGCCGUUUCUCUCAAAGAAAAAUCCUUCCAGCAACCAUGAUAUCAUCUCAAGCUUUGAAUCAUUCUAUUCAAUCUGUAUCCAUUUUCUUCGAUCUGUAGCAUAUUAAACGAUCGAGAUUCUUUUAUUCUCCUUCUCUUGCAUACAGCUUGCUUCACUCACAAUGUCGAUCUCGUUUCUGUAAUGUUCUAUUCUCUUUUUAUGGUUUUGUUAUGCAUUACAUUAGCACUAAGAAGAUGAAGACUUCGGAUAAUUUUACAUGUUAAGAACCCUAGCUGCUACUGAUUAGAUUGUUGGUCAGUUUUCAAAAAUUGUUAGGGUUUUUAGUUCGAUUCUUCAGAUUCCGGUCACAAGGUUCAUUUCAAUUUGGAUUUUUAGGGUUUCUACUCCGAUUCUUCAAUUUUUAUUUUUUAGUGACAACAUCCGUCUCAAUUUUAGUUGUUAGGGUAUGUACUUCAAUUCUUCAAAUUGGGUAUCAGUCAGUUUCCGGAAAUUGGGAAGGUUUAAUGUUUUUGUUUGAAGGAUCGAUUCGAACGCAUGUGCUAGGUAGUUCGUCGGUUAUUAGUUGGGUGAUUACCGAGGUAUGUGCUUUACUUGAUCAUGGUCUGCACGGAGUUUAUACUGCUUUCAAAAGAAACUUUGAUGAUGGUGAUUGUACACAGUUGUGUUAGAGUUUGAGUUGAGAUUGUAGUGAUGUUGAAAAUUGUAGUUCAGAUAUGGGUUUGUAAGAUUAUUUCUCCUUCUGAAAGUUGAAGUUGGUAGAGGUAUGUUCAUGUUGACUUAUAUGUUUGUUGCUGCGGGUUUUAUGAUGCCCAUGAUAGUUACAAACAUCAUUGCUUUCAUGGUGAUAAUGAUCAGUUGAUUUUGAAUUCUAGCUUCAACAUCUCUGAAUUUUGGUCCUGCAGCAUUAUUUCCUUCGAGUUUUGGUCCUGCAGCUUCAUCUCCUUCUGUCGUAGUUGAGGUAGACAUUGCAUGUUUUCUUGCUGCUAGUUGUGUGCAUAGGUUUUAGAGUGAAACAAGGAAAAUAUAUGAAAAGUAAGAGGUUACUCCUUAUCAGAAAAAUUUAUAAGCUUUUGUUUGUUUUUUAUUUUCUGUUUUUGGUCUUUCCCACUAAUUUAGAAGAAUAGAAACCAAGGAAAUAGGAAUAUGGUUUAUAGAAUGUUACUCCUUAUUGAUUCCAAUAUCACAGUUCUUUAUAAUCCACCACUAACGCAUAAAUGUUGUUGUCUAUCGUUCAAUACAUGCUCAUUUCCAUGUUAUUCAUAGGUUCAUUGAUAUGGUCUUCCUUUAUAUUUAUGGUUGAGCUGAAUUACAACUAGAGGAUCCUUACUGAUUAAACCUUUUUUGGUUCCAACAUUUUCAGCUAGAUGGCCGAACUUCCUCUGUGCUUGUUCUGUCUUCUCCUCGGGCUCGGUUCAACUUCACUGGUCUUGGUGGCCCCUUCCUCAAAAUAGUGCAACAUCAAAGUGGUUUACAACAAGUAAGGGAUUGCACGCUGCUGGACUAAGUGGAAUAAUGGCUGUCAACCAAUAUAUUGUUGUUGCCUGGGAGGUCAAUGGCUUCAGGUAGCUGCUGAGACAAGUAUAACAUGCUGGUGUCCCACCAUCACUGAAUCCUCCUUGUUGGACAGGGUUUGUGCCUUAGGCAGUAUAUUUAUUAAUGCUUGAGAAGAAGUUUGUUCAUCCUCAACUACAUAAGUCUUCUCUAAAGAUAGCUGCAAUUCAAAUGCAUCCAGCAGAAAGCAGAGACGAAUCAAGAUUUCAACAACUUAAACUGAAGAUGCGCGACUCCCAGGUAUAUAUGCAUCUUGAAAAAAUGCACAUUGUUUCUGAUAAGUAAGUAGAGCCAUUCUGAGGUUUUGCUAGGAUUAAAUUCACUCCACCCCAAUCUUCUUGCAUAACUCAUUAAGUAGUUUACAUACAAUUUAAUUUGUAUUUGAUCUGUAGAUAUUAUGAUUUUAAUAUAUGCCACGUAUGCGAAUGUGUAAGGUAUUGGUUUCUGUGUAACUGAUUCACAUCAAGAAGUAUUUAAAUGUGACUUGGAAUCUUGUUAUAUAUAUUAGGAUCCCCAUACCUUCGUAUAUCUAUUGUUUUUUGAAGAUCGUUAGGAAAAGAGCAGUUGCAAGUGUUUUUGUUGAUUUUAGAAAGGGAGAUCCACAAAGCAAUGAUGAUUAUGACGAGUUGAAUGAUGGAACUAUGGCAAAUGCGAUAGAGAUGGAGUACUUGGACGUGUUUCAGUAGGUGGCCAAAAACUUAGAUAAAGUGAAUUCAGUAUUAUGUUGUUUUAGAUGAAAUUUCGGGUUGUUAAUGUAGGAUGAAUUUAUCUGUUUUUGUAUAUGUGAGUUUGGGCUCUUAGUGUAAACUUGAAUUCAUAUUUCAGAUAAAGUCAAGUAUACUUACUUUUAAAUGAAUCCGCCUUUUUUU
Molecule: long non-coding RNA, 2488 nt
Organism: Papaver somniferum (opium poppy)
Lineage: Eukaryota; Viridiplantae; Streptophyta; Magnoliopsida; Ranunculales; Papaveraceae
Exons: 2
Source: RefSeq, a predicted model, not a curated record